RNAcentral lists this RNase P RNA (370 nucleotides) under Rhodoblastus acidophilus. RNAcentral describes it as "RNase P RNA component class A". It matches the Rfam family "Bacterial RNase P class A". Rfam says of the family: Ribonuclease P (RNase P) is a ubiquitous endoribonuclease, found in archaea, bacteria and eukarya as well as chloroplasts and mitochondria. RNAcentral also lists the same sequence under 1 other name. The record is from RNAcentral. Lineage: Bacteria; Pseudomonadati; Pseudomonadota; Alphaproteobacteria; Hyphomicrobiales; Rhodoblastaceae.
CCAGUCGGCUGGAUGGCCGCCGUCUUUCGAGACGGAGGAAAGUCCGGGCUCCACGGAGAAACGGCGCCGGAUAACGUCCGGCGGGGGCGACCCCAGGGAAAGCGCCACAGAAAGCAAACCGCCUCUGGGCUUCCAGAGGCAAGGGUGAAAGGGUGCGGUAAGAGCGCACCGCGCUGGCGGCAACGUCCGCGGCACGGCAAGCCCCGCCGGGAGCAAAACCGAAUAGGGACGACAGGGGUUUUCCCCACCCUUCUCCGGGGCGUCGUCCGGGUUGGUUGCACGAGGCGGCAGGCGACUGCCGCCCCAGAGGAAUGGCCAUCGCGCGCCGCAAGGCGCCAUACAGAACCCGGCUUACAGGCCGGCUGGCUCC